This 491-nucleotide ribosomal RNA is filed under the name uncultured bacterium. RNAcentral's name for it is "partial 16S ribosomal RNA". It matches the Rfam family "Bacterial small subunit ribosomal RNA", at positions 29 to 506 of the family's 1533-position model. The record is from RNAcentral.
AGUGAACGCUGGCGGUAGGCCUAACACAUGCCAGUCGAACGGCAGCACAGUAAGAGCUUGCUCUUACGGGUGGCGAGUGGCGGACGGGUGAGGAAUACAUCGGAAUCUACUUUUUCGUGGGGGAUAACGUAGGGAAACUUACGCUAAUACCGCAUACGACCUACGGGUGAAAGCAGGGGAUCUUCGGACCUUGCGCGAUUGAAUGAGCCGAUGUCGGAUUAGCUAGUUGUCGGGGUAAAGGCCCACCAAGGCGACGAUCCGUAGCUGGUCUGAGAGGAUGAUCAGCCACACUGGAACUGAGACACGGUCCAGACUCCUACGGGAGGCAGCAGUGGGGAAUAUUGGACAAUGGGCGCAAGCCUGAUCCAGCCAUACCGCGUGGGUGAAGAAGGCCUUCGGGUUGUAAAGCCCUUUUGUUGGGAAAGAAAAGCAGCAGGUUAAUACCCCGCUGUUCUGACGGUACCCAAAGAAUAAGCACCGGCUAACUUCGU